This is a non-coding RNA of Arachis ipaensis, 761 nucleotides long. Lineage: Eukaryota; Viridiplantae; Streptophyta; Magnoliopsida; Fabales; Fabaceae. The record is from RefSeq and is a predicted model, not a curated record.
UAUUUAAAUUUAUGUUUAUUCUGAGAUUUAUUUCAGUAUCUAUCUCUAAAUCUCUGUUUCUCAGUCUCUAUCUUUCAGUCUCUAUCUCUCUACCAAAUAUAUCCUAUUUUUUGUUGGAAGUACAGGUACUAGAAUUUUUCUACCAAAUAUAUCCUUAUUUUGUUGGAAGUACAGGUACUAUAAUUUUUCAAUUUUUCAACAUAUGAAAACAAAUGCUACUUUACAUAUUAAAUGAAAAGUAUUAUAAAGCUAAUAUUUUUUAUAAAAAGAUCAAAAAUUAACAAAAAAGUCAAUAUUUUCUGGUAAAUAUAAUAGUGGCAAGUUCUCGGUUCCCCGGCUAUUGUCUUGGUUUCUAUUUUUAACAUUUUGUAUCUCUUAUUCUAUUUUUGUUUUGUUCUCUCUUUGGGAAUCCCUUCUUGUUUGGUCAUCACGACUAAUAAAUUACCAGUAGUGGAUGAAUGUUUCAUGUGUUCACUAUCCGUGUGCUUUGAAAACUUAAGAAAAUUCCAUUGGGACAAAAGAGAGUGUAUUACUAAUAAUAUGCAGCAAAACUUAAAUUUACCAACUUCCGAAGGACAAAAACGGAGAGCACAAGAGACGUAUGAAGGACGAAAAGCUUGUGCAUUUAGAGUAAAUUUUUUUCCCAAGACAAGCCUAAUCAUGGUUGAGCUAAUUUGGCCAAAAUAACUAGGUCUAAAAUCUUGACUUCCAAUGUGUCAUCUACCUUUACAAUACCAUCAGUACCAUCUACACCAAUCAAC